GGCUUUUUAGUAUAGUUUAGUAUAUUUGUUUUCCAAACAGGGGGUUUUAGAGUCA
Molecule: transfer RNA, 55 nt
Filed under: Crassicauda magna
Lineage: Eukaryota; Metazoa; Nematoda; Chromadorea; Rhabditida; Tetrameridae
Also listed under: 1 other name
Description: tRNA-Gly
Source: RNAcentral